UCUGUUGCUUUGAAACCCCAAGCCAAAACUCACCCUGUCCCCAACUCCUCCAUACCCUGUCCUCAACUCCCUGGACGAUGCCUCGGCAACGACGCCCUGUCCCCAACUCCUCCAUACCUUAUCCUCAACUCCCUCGACGACGCCUCGGCAACGACGCCCCGCUGCUUGUCGCCCUCGCCACCGCUUGGGCCCCGCUGGCCCCGUCUCUAGAUGCUGCUCGGCCCCCCAUUGGACACCGCUCGCCCCCUCGAUGACGACACCCCGCCGCUUGCUGCCCUCGAAGCCGCUCGGCCCGCCACUCCCCCACCCCCCCCGGCUGGAUGCCGCUCUCCCCCUCAACGCCGCUCGACACCCGCUAGACCCCUUAACGCAGCUCGACACCACUCACCGCCCUCAAAAGACUACGCCUCCUCCACCGCUGCCUCAAUUGCAGCUAUCUUGCAUACACUCCUCAACUUGAUAUUCUAUUUACUCGCGGGUCAUCAGCUACUCUCUAUGCCUUUUCAAACGUAGGCUACGCUGGUGAUUGUGAGAUGGCGCUCUAUUGGAGGUUUGUGCAUUUUCCGUGGUCAAACUCUUACUUCUUGGAGCUCUCGCAAGCAACGAACUGUAGAACGUUCCAGUACAGAAGCUGCACACAGGUGUUUAGCUAACACUACCGCAGAGCUUAUGUGGACUGUAUAUUCUUGAGAGAUCUAAAUGCUCUUCCACCCCAUCCACCGACUCUUUGGUGCGAUAAUUUAUCAGCCAACGACUAAUCUCGAAUUUCAUGCUUGCACAAAGCACGCUGAGAUUGAUUAUCAUUUUCU
Long non-coding RNA from Eucalyptus grandis, 809 nucleotides. RefSeq lists it as uncharacterized. The record is from RefSeq and is a predicted model, not a curated record. Lineage: Eukaryota; Viridiplantae; Streptophyta; Magnoliopsida; Myrtales; Myrtaceae. The transcript is spliced from 2 exons.